Molecule: ribosomal RNA, 372 nt
Filed under: uncultured bacterium
Lineage: Bacteria
Description: bacterial SSU rRNA
Rfam family: Bacterial small subunit ribosomal RNA
Source: RNAcentral
GACGAACGCUGGCGGCGUGCCUAACACAUGCAAGUCAACGAGAAAGGGGUAGCAAUAUCCUGAGUAAAGUGGCGCAUGGGUGAGUAACACGUAGGUAAUCUGCCAUCAGGACGGGGACAACCACGCGAAAGCGUAGCUAAUACCCGAUGAAUCAGCGAUGCCGCAUGGCAUUGCUGUUAAAUGCCGCAAGGUGCCCGAUGAUGAACCUGCGCCCAUUAGGUAGUUGGUGAGGUAACGGCUCACCAAGCCGACGAUGGGUAGCUGGUCUGAGAGGAUGAUCAGCCACACUGGAACUGAGACACGGUCCAGACUCCUACGGGAGGCAAGCAGUGAGGAAUAUUGCGCAAUGGCCGAAAGGCUGACGCAGCGACG